UUGCUUCAAUAGCAUGAACACUGAAAUUGGAAUGACAUGAAGAAAAUUACCAGGGCCUCUGUGCAUGAAUGACAUACAACUAUAUGAAAUGUUUCAUGUUUUA
Molecule: small nuclear RNA, 103 nt
Organism: Heterocephalus glaber (naked mole-rat)
Lineage: Eukaryota; Metazoa; Chordata; Mammalia; Rodentia; Bathyergidae
Source: Ensembl